Molecule: long non-coding RNA, 317 nt
Filed under: Zostera marina
Lineage: Eukaryota; Viridiplantae; Streptophyta; Magnoliopsida; Alismatales; Zosteraceae
Description: long non-coding RNA (ZMAR_LNC004423)
Source: RNAcentral
GUAGCUGAAUUUAACAUCUCGGAACAUGAUAUGGCCUUGGACGCUUGGAAGACUCCUUCCACUGCGUUUCUCAUGACUGGACUUACGAUCUGCAGCAACAUCGAUCAAUCGGAAUAUCGAGUAUGCCGCCGUCCUGGCUCUGACGAAGGUGACCAAAUUCGGUGCUCCCUGGCCAAGCGCUCUGGACAUCGAUAAAUAAAUAAAUGUAAUGAAAUGAUUCGAAUCGUUUAAUAUGAAACGACAGGUGUUUGAUGAAAUGCUUACAGUCCAGCGAUGACAACGUUGAGCAUGGUGGUGAAGGAUUCGCCGCCGUUUGC